Molecule: ribosomal RNA, 273 nt
Filed under: uncultured bacterium
Lineage: Bacteria
Description: partial 16S ribosomal RNA
Rfam family: Bacterial small subunit ribosomal RNA
Source: RNAcentral
GUCCACGCUGUAAACGAUGAUCACUGGACGUCGGAUCUGCUUUGCAGAUUCGGUGUCGAAGCUAACGCGUUAAGUGAUCCGCCUGGGGAGUACGGUCGCAAGAUUAAAACUCAAAGAAAUUGACGGGGGUCCGCACAAGCGGUGGAACAUGUGGUUUAAUUCGACACUACGCGAGAAACCUUACCUAGGCUUGACAUGUUUUUUGACCGCUCUAGAAACAGAGCUUUCCAAAGUUUACUUUGGACAAAUUCACAGGUGCUGCAUGGCUGUCGU